AGCCAAGUUACGACAGGACAGAAAAUGGCACAAAAUGGUUUGAGUGUAUCCACGUCUGGCGUGUAAUAAUACUCUGAGCCUAACUCAGUUUUCCAGUCCAAGAGGAUGACAGGCGAGAAGGCAGUAGAGGGAGGAAAUGUCGGGGUGAAAAGUCCUACUGAAAACAGCAGUAAAACGCAUCAAAUAGGAUUACACGGGCCAACCCCGCGUCAACAUUGAUAAGCACGCGAAACCCUAUCCGUUGGGUCCCACAAGCUUUGGACGUUCCAGUCAAAAAGCGCGACGUUUGCACAGCAACGGUGGACAAGUUCUUGUAUUUGAUAAGCACGACAACGUGCACGAACAUCACGCAAUUCGACGCUUCAUUUCGUCUCUUUCAAAGAGAAUCAACUUGGAUAACGUCAACGCUUUUAACGCUGCCCCGUCAACAAUAUGGGCUACUAUAUAAAAAUGGCUUUUUGUUUGUUUCGUUUUGUAAUUGCCAGCACGCGUGCAUUUUGGCCGUACGGUUGGUUAAUAAAAAUUCGACCGCAGAAAUCUGAACGGCUUAUUAUAUACUUGUCUGUUGUAAAACGCAUUUCUUUCUGUUUUUGAAUAGCAGUGCGUGUAUUAUUGCUCUGUUUAAAGACACGCCGGAGCGCUUAACAUAAACGUAUGCAUAUCACAUUAAUAGGCUAUACGCGUGUAAUCGGGAGGACCGUUUAUUUCGCGCAUCGUUUUCCCAUACACUGGUCUAUAAUCAAUUGUGUAUAAGAAAAAUGGCUGCUGCUUUAUUUGUGUAAAUAGCAUAGUUUUGGCUUUAAUUUUUAAUUUGUGAAUCGCUUUGCGUAUAUAUAUAUAGUCUAUAAAACAAAUGGCUGUAUCA
Daphnia magna is the source of this 865-nucleotide long non-coding RNA. RefSeq lists it as uncharacterized. Lineage: Eukaryota; Metazoa; Arthropoda; Branchiopoda; Diplostraca; Daphniidae. The record is from RefSeq and is a predicted model, not a curated record. The transcript is spliced from 2 exons.